GGGGAAUCUUGCACAAUGGGCGAAAGCCUGAUGCAGCGACGCCGCGUGCGGGACGAAGGCCUUCGGGUCGUAAACCGCUUUCAGCAGGGACGAGGCCGCAAGGUGACGGUACCUGCAGAAGAAGCCCCGGCUAACUACGUGCCAGCAGCCGCGGUAAUACGUAGGGGGCAAGCGUUAUCCGGAUUCAUUGGGCGUAAAGAGCUCGUAGGCGGCCCGUUAGGUCAGGAGUCAAAUUCGGGGGCUCAACCCCCGCGCGCUUCUGAUACCGGCGGGCUUGAGUUUGGUAGGGGAAGGUGGAAUUCCCAGUGUAGCGGUGGAAUGCGCAGAUAUUGGGAAGAACACCGGUGGCGAAGGCGGCCUUCUGGGCCACAACUGACGCUGAGGAGCGAAAGCUAGGGGAGCGAAC
This 406-nucleotide ribosomal RNA is filed under the name uncultured bacterium. RNAcentral describes it as "bacterial SSU rRNA". It matches the Rfam family "Bacterial small subunit ribosomal RNA", at positions 356 to 773 of the family's 1533-position model. The record is from RNAcentral.